Molecule: unclassified non-coding RNA, 401 nt
Filed under: soil metagenome
Description: partial contains 5.8S ribosomal RNA, internal transcribed spacer 2, and large subunit ribosomal RNA
Rfam family: 5.8S ribosomal RNA (bases 1-121)
Source: RNAcentral
GAUGAAGAACGUAGCGAAAUGCGAUAAGUAAUGUGAAUUGCAGAAUUCAGUGAAUCAUCGAAUCUUUGAACGCACCUUGCGCCCUUUGGCUAUUCCGAAGGGCAUGCCUGUUUGAGUAUCAUGAACACCUCAACUCUCAUGGUUUGCCAUGAUGAGCUUGGACUCUGGGGGUCUUGCUGGCCUAUGGUCAGCUCCUCUCAAAUAAAUCAGCUUGCCAGUGUUUGGUGGCAUCACAGGUGUGAUAACUAUCUACGCUUGUGGUUUUCCAUCAGGUAACCUUCAGUGAUGGAGGUUCGCUGGAGCUCAUAAAUGUCCCUCCUCAGCGAGGACAGCUUUUUGAACGUUUGAUCUCAAAUCAGGUAGGACUACCCGCUGAACUUAAGCAUAUCAAUAAGCGGAGA